RNAcentral lists this ribosomal RNA (482 nucleotides) under uncultured bacterium. Its description in RNAcentral is "partial 16S ribosomal RNA". It matches the Rfam family "Bacterial small subunit ribosomal RNA", at positions 28 to 507 of the family's 1533-position model. The record is from RNAcentral.
GACGAACGCUGGCGGCGUGCUUAACACAUGCAAGUCGAACGAUGAAGAAGAGAAACGCGAACUUCGGUUCAAAUUUCACUUCGGAUUAGUGGCAGACGGGUGAGUAACGCGUGAGCAACCUACCUCUUACAAAGGGGUAGCCUCGGGAAACCGUGAUUAAUACCAUAUGACACAUUCAUAAGGCAUCUUAAGAAUGUUAAAGCUACGGCGGUAAGAGAUGGGCUCGCGUCCCAUUAGCUAGUUGGUGAGGUAACGGCCCACCAAGGCGACGAUGGGUAACCGGCCUGAGAGGGUGAACGGUCACAUUGGAACUGAGACACGGUCCAAACUCCUACGGGAGGCAGCAGUGGGGAAUAUUGCACAAUGGAGGGAACUCUGAUGCAGCGACGCCGCGUGAGCGAUGAAGGAAUUCGUUUCGUAAAGCUCUGUUCUAUGGGAAGAAAAGGACUGUACCAUAGGAGAAAGCCCCGGCUAAAUACGUG